Molecule: ribosomal RNA, 424 nt
Filed under: uncultured bacterium
Lineage: Bacteria
Description: bacterial SSU rRNA
Rfam family: Bacterial small subunit ribosomal RNA
Source: RNAcentral
GGGGAAUCUUGCGCAAUGCGCGCAAGCCUGAUCCAGCAACGCCGCGUGGAGGACGAAGGUCUUCGGAUCGUAAACUCCUGUCAGGCGGGACGAAGGCUUCCGGGCAAAUAGUCUGGAAGCUUGACGGUACUGCCAGAGGAAGCCCCGGCUAACUCCGUGCCAGCAGCCGCGGUAAUACGGAGGGGGCUAGCGUUAUUCGGAUUUACUGGGCGUAAAGGGCGCGUAGGCGGCAUGACAAGUCACUUGUGAAAUCUCCGGGCUUAACUCGGAACGGCCAAGUGAUACUGUUGAGCUAGAGUGCAGAAGGGGCAAUCGGAAUUCUUGGUGUAGCGGUGAAAUGCGUAGAUAUCAAGAGGAACACCUGAGGUGAAGACGGGUUGCUGGGCUGACACUGACGCUGAGGCGCGAAAGCUAGGGUAGCAAA